This 134-nucleotide ribosomal RNA is filed under the name Vulpes vulpes (red fox). Lineage: Eukaryota; Metazoa; Chordata; Mammalia; Carnivora; Canidae. The record is from RNAcentral.
GGAAAUAUCCAUACCACCCUGAAUGCACCCGAUCUUGUCUGAUCUCGGAAGCUAAGCAGGGUCGGGCCUGGUUAGUACUUGGAUGGGAGACAAUUUUCUAGAAUUAAAUGCAAGACUGUAGGGUCAUAUUGACA